AAUGUUGACCUCGGAUCAG
This 19-nucleotide ribosomal RNA is filed under the name Fusarium proliferatum. RNAcentral's name for it is "partial 28S ribosomal RNA". The record is from RNAcentral. Lineage: Eukaryota; Fungi; Ascomycota; Sordariomycetes; Hypocreales; Nectriaceae.